AAAGCCAAAAUUUGCCUCUCACCCUCUCAUGUCUCAACUCUCUCUAGCUACCUGAAACAAAACACCACAGCCAGCUCACUCUCUGAAUUCUCUCUAGCUACCUGAAAAAAUCCAUCACGGGCAGCUCACUCUCAGCUCUCUUCCCCUUUCUCGGACUCACACCACGGCCGCCCAAUAGCUCCUCCAACUCUUCGAUCGCAAGAAAAGUUUCUGGCUGAAAAAGGAAGAAGCCAAAGAGCUUCAAAGAUGAGGAGUGCUUUAUAAGUUCAGUUCCCACAAAUCAGCAUUCAAAACACUUUCACAUAAGCUUGGGAUUCACUGCAGGAUCUUAGUAUCAUUCUAAGCUCAAGCUGCACUUUUUCUUACUGAAUUGUCCAUUGAAUCACUAUUUCUGGGUGAUCAUCAAUUAUGACUGGGCUGAUGAACUUUAAAGUAUAUGACUUUGAUUGGAUGACAAUGGAGAGGAAAGUGGCUUUUGCUCUUGCCGUGCUUCACUUUAGGACUUUUCUUGUUUUUUGGACUGAAUAGAUGCCACAUUUGGGACAAAUGCAGCUUAUCAGAACAUUUGGAUGGUGAUGUAAACUUUGAAUUUGACAUUUGUGUACUGAAAAUGAUAUUUUGCCAUGUAAUUUCUAAUGUUGUAAUUGGUUUUGCUUGUUUAAGUGUCUAGAUUUAGUAUUUCUAUUUA
This is a long non-coding RNA of Coffea eugenioides, 688 nucleotides long. RefSeq lists it as uncharacterized. The transcript is spliced from 4 exons. The record is from RefSeq and is a predicted model, not a curated record. NCBI's taxonomy places the organism in Eukaryota, Viridiplantae, Streptophyta, Magnoliopsida, Gentianales, Rubiaceae.